UAAACCAUGCACCGAAGCUGCGGCAGCGACACUAUGUGUUGUUGGGUAGGGGAGCGUUCUGUAAGCCUGCGAAGGUGACCUGUGAGGGUUGCUGGAGGUAUCAGAAGUGCGAAUGCUGACAUAAGUAACGAUAAAGCGGGUGAAAAGCCCGCUCGCCGGAAGACCAAGGGUUCCUGUCCAACGUUAAUCGGGGCAGGGUGAGUCGACCCCUAAGGCGAGGCCGAAAGGCGUAGUCGAUGGGAAACAGGUUAAUAUUCCUGUACUUGGUGUUACUGCGAAGGGGGGACGGAGAAGGCUAUGUUAGCCGGGCGACGGUUGUCCCGGUUUAAGCAUGUAGGCUGGUUGUCCAGGCAAAUCCGGAUAAUCAAGGCUGAGGUGUGAUGACGAGGCACUACGGUGCUGAAGUAACAAAUGCCCUGCUUCCAGGAAAAGCCUCUAAGCAUCAGGUAACAUUAAAUCGUACCCCAAACCGACACAGGUGGUCAGGUAGAGAAUACCAAGGCGCUUGAGAGAACUCGGGUGAAGGAACUAGGCAAAAUGGUGCCGUAACUUCGGGAGAAGGCACGCUGGUGUGUAGGUGAAGUCCCUGCGGAUGGAGCUGAGACCAGUCGAAGAUACCAGCUGGCUGCAACUGUUUAUUAAAAACACAGCACUGUGCAAACACGAAAGU
Molecule: ribosomal RNA, 670 nt
Filed under: Klebsiella pneumoniae
Lineage: Bacteria; Pseudomonadati; Pseudomonadota; Gammaproteobacteria; Enterobacterales; Enterobacteriaceae
Description: partial 23S ribosomal RNA
Rfam family: Bacterial large subunit ribosomal RNA
Source: RNAcentral